AGUGAACGCUGGCGGUAGGCCUAACACAUGCAAGUCGAACGGCAGCACAGGAGAGCUUGCUCUCUGGGUGGCGAGUGGCGGACGGGUGAGGAAUACAUCGGAAUCUACUCUGUCGUGGGGGAUAACGUAGGGAAACUUACGCUAAUACCGCAUACGACCUACGGGUGAAAGCAGGGGACCUUCGGGCCUUGCGCGAUUGAAUGAGCCGAUGUCGGAUUAGCUAGUUGGCGGGGUAAAGGCCCACCAAGGCGACGAUCCGUAGCUGGUCUGAGAGGAUGAUCAGCCACACUGGAACUGAGACACGGUCCAGACUCCUACGGGAGGCAGCAGUGGGGAAUAUUGGACAGUGGGCGCAAGCCUGAUCCAGCCAUACCGCGUGGGUGAAGAAGGCCUUCGGGUUGUAAAGCCCUUUUGUUGGGAAAGAAAUCCAGCUGGCUAAUACCCGGUUGGGAUGACGGUACCCAAAGAAUAAGCACCGGCUAACUUCGUGCCAGCAGCCGUCGUAA
Molecule: ribosomal RNA, 506 nt
Filed under: uncultured bacterium
Lineage: Bacteria
Description: partial 16S ribosomal RNA
Rfam family: Bacterial small subunit ribosomal RNA
Source: RNAcentral